GGCGUGGUGGCAGAGUGGUCUAAUGCGCAGCACUCGAAAUGCUGUCUCCUCGGAGGCGUCUGUUCGAAUCAGGCCCACGUCG
Molecule: non-coding RNA, 82 nt
Organism: Bombardia bombarda
Lineage: Eukaryota; Fungi; Ascomycota; Sordariomycetes; Sordariales; Lasiosphaeriaceae
Source: the annotation of a GenBank genome assembly